Molecule: unclassified non-coding RNA, 389 nt
Filed under: uncultured fungus
Lineage: Eukaryota; Fungi
Description: partial contains small subunit ribosomal RNA, internal transcribed spacer 1, and 5.8S ribosomal RNA
Rfam family: Eukaryotic small subunit ribosomal RNA (bases 1-73)
Source: RNAcentral
ACAAACUUGGUCAUUUAGAGGAAGUACAAGUCGUAACAAGGUUUCCGUAGGUGAACCUGCGGAAGGAUCAUUACAGAGAAUUUAGUUACUACCUGCCGGUACCUAGCUGCAGUGGCACUAGCGACUAGUCCAUGCUGCAGCUAGAGUAUUGGUCAGUCAUUUGCUCUCCAGCCAAAGCUGGUCUGCACGCUUCGACUGUAUUAUUAUACAAUCUAUGCUGUACAGCUAUACAGCUAGUAAUAGUUGUACAUGUACAGCUAUACAGCUAGUAAUAGUUGGACAUGUACAGCUAUACAGCUAGUAAUAGUUGGACAUGUACAGCUAGUAAUAUAUUGAUCUUUACUUUUAACAAUGGAUCUCUAGGCUCUUGCAUCGAUGAAGAACGCAGC